GGGCAUUAUACGUCCGGUGCACAGUUCGUAUAAUAAUCCGAUGUUGGGGAUUCUGAAACAUAAUGAACAAUGGCGUUUAUGCGCUGACUUACGACAGCUAAAUAAACACGUCUAUAUGUCUGGUUGGCCAGUGCCAUAUAUAGACCAAUGUUUGGUACAAAUGCAGGGAUCCAAAAUAUUCACUGCCAUUGACUGUGCGCAGGGAUAAUGGACUGUACCAGUCCAUGAUGAAGACCAAUACAAAUUGGCCUUCACAUUUGGAAAGCAGCAGUAUACCUGGAC
Molecule: non-coding RNA, 282 nt
Organism: Pelobates cultripes (western spadefoot toad)
Lineage: Eukaryota; Metazoa; Chordata; Amphibia; Anura; Pelobatidae
Source: the annotation of a GenBank genome assembly